Molecule: ribosomal RNA, 207 nt
Filed under: uncultured bacterium
Lineage: Bacteria
Description: partial 16S ribosomal RNA
Rfam family: Bacterial small subunit ribosomal RNA
Source: RNAcentral
UGUGUAGGCGGGGCUGUAAGUCAGAGGUGAAAUCCUGCGGCUCAACCGUAGAACUGCCUUUGAUACUGCAGCUCUUGAGUCUCGGAGAGGUCAUUAGAAUUCGUGGUGUAGCGGUGAAAUGCGUAGAUAUCACGAGGAAUACCAGAGGCGUAGGCGGAUGACUGGACGAGUACUGACGCUGAGGCACGAAAGCGUGGGGAGCAAACA